UAUUAGUUGCCAGCAUUUAGUUGGGCACUCUAAUGAGACUGCCGGUGAUAAACCGGAGGAAGGUGGGGACGACGUCAGAUCAUCAUGCCCCUUAUGACCUGGGCAACACACGUGCUACAAUGGGAAGUACAACGAGUCGCAAACCGGCGACGGUAAGCUAAUCUCUUAAAACUUCUCUCAGUUCGGACUGGAGUCUGCAACUCGACUCCACGAAGGCGGAAUCGCUAGUAAUCGCGAAUCAGCAUGUCGCGGUGAAUACGUUCCCGGGUCUUGUACACACCGCCCGUCAAAUCAUGGGAGUCGGAAGUACCCAAAGUCGCUUGGCUAACUUUUAGAGGCCGGUGCCUAAGGUAAAAUCGAUGACUGGGAUUAAGUCGUAACAAGGUAGCCGUAGGAGAACCUGCGGCUGGAUCACCUCCUUUCUAAGGA
Molecule: ribosomal RNA, 429 nt
Filed under: Oenococcus oeni
Lineage: Bacteria; Bacillati; Bacillota; Bacilli; Lactobacillales; Lactobacillaceae
Description: bacterial SSU rRNA
Rfam family: Bacterial small subunit ribosomal RNA
Source: RNAcentral